UUAUUGAUGUUGUUGUUGCU
Molecule: microRNA, 20 nt
Filed under: Corchorus capsularis
Lineage: Eukaryota; Viridiplantae; Streptophyta; Magnoliopsida; Malvales; Malvaceae
Description: sRNA CCACVL1_01995
Source: RNAcentral